This 497-nucleotide ribosomal RNA is filed under the name uncultured bacterium. RNAcentral's name for it is "partial 16S ribosomal RNA". It matches the Rfam family "Bacterial small subunit ribosomal RNA", at positions 28 to 507 of the family's 1533-position model. The record is from RNAcentral.
GAUGAACGCUGGCGGCGUGCCUAAUACAUGCAAGUCGAGCGAACAGACGAGGAGCUUGCUCCUCUGACGUUAGCGGCGGACGGGUGAGUAACACGUGGAUAACCUACCUAUAAGACUGGGAUAACUUCGGGAAACCGGAGCUAAUACCGGAUAAUAUAUUGAACCGCAUGGUUCAAUAGUGAAAGACGGUUUUGCUGUCACUUAUAGAUGGAUCCGCGCCGCAUUAGCUAGUUGGUAAGGUAACGGCUUACCAAGGCAACGAUGCGUAGCCGACCUGAGAGGGUGAUAGGCCACACUGGAACUGAGACACGGUCCAGACUCCUACGGGAGGCAGCAGUAGGGAAUCUGACGCAAUGGGCGAAAGCCUGACGGAGCAACGCCGCGUGAGUGAUAAAGGUCUUCGGAUCGUAAAACUCUGUUAUUAGGGAAGAACAAAUGUGUAAGUAACUAUGCACGUCUUGACGGUACCUAAUCAGAAAGCCACGGCUAACUACGUG